GGGCCCGCACAAGCGGUGGAGCAUGUGGUUUAAUUCGAUGAUACGCGAGGAACCUUACCAGGGCUUAAAUGUAAGUUGCAUUAGUUAGAGAUAACUAUUUCUUCGGACCACUUACAAGGUGCUGCAUGGUUGUCGUCAGCUCGUGCCGUGAGGUGUCAGGUUAAGUCCUAUAACGAGCGCAACCCCUGUUGUUAGUUGCCAGCGAUUCAAGUCGGGAACUCUAACAAGACUGCCGGUGCAAACCGUGAGGAAGGUGGGGAUGACGUCAAAUCAUCACGGCCCUUACGUCCUGGGCUACACACGUGCUACAAUGGUAGGGACAGAGAGCAGCCACUACGCGAGUAGGAGCGAAUCUAUAAACCCUAUCACAGUUCGGAUCGGAGUCUGCAACUCGACUCCGUG
RNAcentral lists this ribosomal RNA (402 nucleotides) under uncultured bacterium. RNAcentral describes it as "bacterial SSU rRNA". It matches the Rfam family "Bacterial small subunit ribosomal RNA", at positions 917 to 1322 of the family's 1533-position model. The record is from RNAcentral.